GCCAGCAACAAAGAAGGCCAACAACAAAGAAGGCCAACAACAAAGAAGGCCAACAACAAAGAAGGCCAACAACAAAGAAGGCCAACAACAAAGAAGGCCAACAACAAAGAAGGCCAACAACAAGAUGGCUAAUGACAAAGAUGACAAAAAACCUAAAUUGCCAAAAAUCCAGAUGGCAACAACUAGAGAUGGUGUCUGCGAUGAACGAGGUAUGCAAGUUUAUGGACCCUUUCAAGUUCGUAGUAAUGUAUGCUGAUGUGAGGGGGACUGUCACUUGGACCUCAGUCCCUCUCGCCCUGGAGGAACAGUUCAUGACUUGGUGUAGGCUGAGUUCUUCAUGACAAGGGUCUGCUGGAGGAGGAGGAGGACAAGGUGUCUCUGUAGUCGUCCUGCAGCGCCAAUCACCGCAGCACACGCAGAGCAUAGGAGUGACCUCCCUGCUGGUCUGUUCCCUGAGCAUGGGGCGACAAAAACAAAAACCAAUAUGGCCAACAACCAAGAUGGCCAACAACAAA
Molecule: long non-coding RNA, 515 nt
Organism: Cottoperca gobio
Lineage: Eukaryota; Metazoa; Chordata; Actinopteri; Perciformes; Bovichtidae
Exons: 3
Source: RefSeq, a predicted model, not a curated record